GGGGAAUAUUGCACAAUGGGCGCAAGCCUGAUGCAGCGACGCCGCGUGGGGGAUGAAGGCCUUCGGGUUGUAAACUCCUUUCGCUAGGGACGAAGCUUUUUGGUGACGGUACCUAGAUAAGAAGCACCGGCUAACUACGUGCCUGCAGCCGCGGUAAUACGUAGGGUGCGAGCGUUGUCCGGAAUUACUGGGCGUAAAGGGCUCGUAGGUGGUUUGUCGCGUCGUCUGUGAAAUUCUGGGGCUUAACUCCGGGCGUGCAGGCGAUACGGGCAUAACUUGAGUGCUGUAGGGGUAACUGGAAUUCCUGGUGUAGCGGUGAAAUGCGCAGAUAUCAGGAGGAACACCGAUGGCGAAGGCAGGUUACUGGGCAGUUACUGACGCUGAGGAGCGAAAGCAUGGGUAGCGAACAGGAUUAGAUACCCUGGUAGUCCAUGCCGUAAACGGUGGGCGCUAGGUGUGAGGGUCUUUCUACGACUUUCGUGCCGUAGCUAACGCAUUAAGCGCCCCGCCUGGGGAGUACGGCCGCAAGGCUA
This 533-nucleotide ribosomal RNA is filed under the name uncultured bacterium. RNAcentral's name for it is "bacterial SSU rRNA". It matches the Rfam family "Bacterial small subunit ribosomal RNA", at positions 356 to 896 of the family's 1533-position model. The record is from RNAcentral.